GGUGGCUCAGUGGUAGAGUGCUUGCCUUGCAUGCAUGAAGUCCUGGGUUCAAUUCCUCAGCACCA
Dipodomys ordii (Ord's kangaroo rat) is the source of this 65-nucleotide non-coding RNA. The record is from Rfam. Lineage: Eukaryota; Metazoa; Chordata; Mammalia; Rodentia; Heteromyidae.